This 664-nucleotide long non-coding RNA is filed under the name Chlamydomonas reinhardtii. RNAcentral's name for it is "long non-coding RNA (CREI_LNC001236)". Lineage: Eukaryota; Viridiplantae; Chlorophyta; Chlorophyceae; Chlamydomonadales; Chlamydomonadaceae. The record is from RNAcentral.
CAGCGACUGGGGCCGUCUGCCGGGCGCAGGGACGGGCUAACCACCCGCCUGCGCUGCGGGCGCGGGUCCCGCCGUCAGUGGCGCUGCUAGCGGCCCGGGGUUUUCCUGGGCACACCCCUUCCGGCUUCAUACGGAGACCGUCAUAGCAAGCAACCUAGCCUCAUAGUACCGCGGUGUUUGGUGUCCCGUCCCGCCGCGGCCUCCUUGUGCUCUGACAGUAUUACUAACAGCACACAAAAGUCAGAAAGCAAAAUUUAUUUACUAUGAUUGCGUUUGGUAGUACGUGUAAGAUUCAGUUAGCGAGCAUAGUUGCUUGGCCACGACAUUGUCGCAUGCGGUCUUGCCGGCUUGCUGGGGCAGCGAUUGGGGCCGUCUGCCGGGCGCAGGGCCAGGCUAACCACCCGCCUGCGCUGCGGGCGUGGGCCCCGCCGUCAGUGGCGCUGCUAGCGGCCCGGGGUUUUCCUGGGCACACCCCUUCCGGCUUCAUACGGAGACCGUCACAGCAAGCAACCUAGCCUCAUAGUACCGCGGUGCCUGGUGCCCCGUCCCGCCGCGGCCUCCUUGUGCUCUGACAGUCAUAGACGACAACGCACAAUCGCGCAUCCCGGGCUUGAAACAAAGAAUGUUGCAAGGCACGAGCCCUGGCCCGUCCACACCAUCGUCC